AGAAUCAACGCUGGCGGCGUGCCUAACACAUGCAAGUCGAACGAGAAAGGGGAGCAAUCCCUGAGUAAAGUGGCGACCGGGUGAGUAACACGUGACUAACCUACCCUCGAGUGUGGAAUAACAUCGGGAAAACCGAUGCUAAUACCGCAUAACAUCGGCGCUUUUAAGAGAUGCCGAUCAAAGGAGCAAUCCGCUUGAGGAGGGGGUCGCGGCUGAUUAGCUAGUUGGCGGGGUAACGGCCCACCAAGGCGAAGAUCGGUAGCCGGCCUGAGAGGGCGCACGGCCACACUGGAACUGAAACACGGUCCAGACUCCUACGGGAGGCAGCAGUGGGGAAUUUUGCGCAAUGGGGGAAACCCUGACGCAGCAACGCCGCGUGGAGGAUGAAGCCCCUUGGGGCGUAAACUCCUUUCGACCAAGACGAUAAUGACGGUACUGGUGGAAGAAGCACCGGCUAACUCUGCGCCAGCAGCCGC
This 476-nucleotide ribosomal RNA is filed under the name uncultured bacterium. RNAcentral's name for it is "SSU rRNA". It matches the Rfam family "Bacterial small subunit ribosomal RNA", at positions 26 to 518 of the family's 1533-position model. The record is from RNAcentral.